This 354-nucleotide long non-coding RNA is filed under the name Marmota monax (woodchuck). Lineage: Eukaryota; Metazoa; Chordata; Mammalia; Rodentia; Sciuridae. The record is from RNAcentral.
CCUUUCCUCAACAUCUGUCACAGCCUCCACAUCACUGGAAAGAAAUUGAGGCUGUGGGGUGAGUCUGUUUGCCAGAGUGCUAUUAUCCAUCCAUUCUGUGUUUUCAGGAUCUGGGCUUAAAAUAAGACAACCUGGGGAGGAAUGUUUUUGGCCUGGAGAAUAAGUGAGGGAAGACAGGCUGGGUGGGCUUCUGUGGGGCACUGGCUGCUACGGAGAGCAAAUUCAGGAAGCACUGGCUUCGUGUGGAGGCUUGCUCUUCGUACCUGCCGCAGACCACCCACGGGAUGAGGGUGGUGAGGAGCAGCCAGUGCUGGCAGGCAUCUUCUGCCUGGAUCUUCUCCACACCCUCCCUGU